RNAcentral lists this long non-coding RNA (822 nucleotides) under Homo sapiens (human). RNAcentral describes it as "lncRNA associated with SART3 regulation of splicing". Lineage: Eukaryota; Metazoa; Chordata; Mammalia; Primates; Hominidae. The record is from RNAcentral.
AGAGAGGUGAGUCAUCCAUUCUUCAUGGCACAGCUGUCGCCUUCCUGAAACUCACAUUAGACACGCGCUCAUAGAAUCAAAUGUACCACAUGCAGCCAUUACAGACGGGCACACCAACCCCAGACUGCUGUUGCCAGAAAACAAAAGAGAGCAAGAGAGAAGACAGUGGGUGAAGUCCUGGUUCCAGACUCCCCUUUUUGCCGGGAUAUGAUGGAUCUGUCAGCUGGUGCCUAGAGUCCUAGAGAGCUAGAGAUGGAGGGAAAUUCAGAUCAUCUAAACCCUUCAGCCCUUCACUGGACAGAAGAGGAAACUGAGGCUCCAUCUGCAUGACGUUCCCAGAGUCACGGCACAAAUUCAUGGAAGAAGCAGCAGGAAACUCAGUUCUCCAGUCUGGGUCCAAUGUGUGUUUUAGAAAUAUCUCCACAGGGUUAAUGACUCAAUUUUUCAUGCAUGAUUGCUAGUAAUGACAAUCAUGUUAUGUUUGUUUCUGUAGCUUUGGAAAUCACUCCUUCCACUUGAGUUUCAGGUCCCAACUGUCCACACCUGCAGGAGUGAGGUUUUGCUGAGACUGAUAAGGCACUCACAUUUUGUGGGAGUUGAAUUGUCUCUGUAGCCUAGAAUCUAGAUUUUUUUCCCUCCUCUGCUCUCAGUGAACGGAGAAUUCCAUCUCGGUACAAUCUGUGAACCAUUCUGCAGUAAGAUUGUCAUCGUCUCAUUCAUACUACCUGGUCGGUAACACAAAGGGCUGUAAUUGAUGUGGUUCAGAGACUCACAUCCAAGCAAUAAAAAUGAAUCCCUUAUGGUGGUCUGCAGCAACGCAAA